Molecule: ribosomal RNA, 459 nt
Filed under: uncultured bacterium
Lineage: Bacteria
Description: partial 16S ribosomal RNA
Rfam family: Bacterial small subunit ribosomal RNA
Source: RNAcentral
CCUACGGGAGGCAGCAGUGAGGAAUAUUGGUCAAUGGUCGGGAGACUGAACCAGCCAAGCCGCGUGAGGGAGGAAGGUACAGAGUAUCGUAAACCUCUUUUGUCAGGGAACAAAGACUGGGACGCGUCCCCGGAUGAGUGUACCUGAAGAAAAAGCAUCGGCUAACUCCGUGCCAGCAGCCGCGGUAAUACGGGGGAUGCGAGAGUUAUCCGGAUUUAUUGGGUUUAAAGGGUGCGCAGGCGGUGUGUUAAGUCAGCGGUCAAAGCCCGGGGCUCAACCCCGGCCCGCCGUUGAAACUGGCAGUCUCGAGUUGGAGAGAAGGAUGCGGAAUGCGCGGUGUAGCGGUGAAAGGCAUAGAUAUCGCGCAGAACUCCGAUUGCGAAGGCAGCAUGCCGGCUCCACACUGACGCUGAGGCACGAAAGCGUGGGUAUCGAACAGGAUUAGAUACCCGGGUAGUC